This 877-nucleotide long non-coding RNA is filed under the name Bos grunniens (domestic yak). Its description in RNAcentral is "lncRNA (ENSBGRG00000026604.1)". The record is from RNAcentral. Lineage: Eukaryota; Metazoa; Chordata; Mammalia; Artiodactyla; Bovidae.
CUGGAAGAGAGGGACAAUGCUCCUUUCACAGCCGCCUUCUGGGGUGGGGCCUGCGGGUUGGGUGCAGCACAGACACUCGGUGUGUAGGCGUUGGAUCCAGACUGCCGGGGCCAGUUCCCAGCUCCCACUCACCACAAAGUGAGACUUAGCUCUGGGGUUUCCGCCAUCUGUAAGUUAGGACGAUAACAUUACCUGCCUAGAGUUGUUUGAGAAUUAAAGGAGGAAAAAUACAAGCAGGCCUGACAUGGCUUAGAGUGAGUGCUCCCGUUCCUUAUCUCUGACUUGCCGUGGAGCUUGGGUGGGGCAACCCAGAGAGUCUCCAGGAGGACCUUGGUGGGGUGUGGAAGUUACAGUGCUGUGACAGGGUGUGCCCCACGAUACAGCCCAGAGAGGUGCCUGACCUGCCUGGGGCUGCACCGCACAGCGUCCCACCCUGGCUAUGCAGGUUAUGCGGCCCCUACCUGACAGUGUUCAGCGAGAAUGCCAUCGAUGUGUUUGAUGUGAGGAGGGCAGAAUGGGUCCAGACCGUGCCACUCAAGAAGGUGCGACCCCUGAACCCAGAGGGCUCCCUGUUCCUCUUUGGUACCGAGAAGGUCCGCCUGACCUACCUCAGGAACCCGCUGGCAGAGAAGGACGAGUUCGACAUCCCCAACCUCACGGACAACAGCCGGCGCCAGCUCUUCCGCACCAAGAGCAAGCGCCGCUUCUUCUUCCGCGUGUCGGAGGAGCAGCUGCAGCAGCAGCGCAGGUGCGCCUGUGCCCUGGGUGGUGGGUGGGCGGGCCUCCCGCUUUAGCGGGCGAGUCCAAGCCUCGCCUUCCUGGAGAGGUGUCACCUUUGCCCCGCACGUCCCUUCCCUACCCCGUAGGGAGAUGCUGA